AACCCGCGUCACACUGCAGGCAGCCACUUCUGUGACGCAGUUCUAGCUCUUUGCACCGGGUUUUGCGUGCUCGUCUGACAUGCGUUCGGGGAAACUGAGCAUCCGGGAGCCGGUGUAAGCCGUGACCGCAGCCUGAGGAGCCGGGCCCUCCUGCGGGGGUUGAAUGCCGGGUCCCUGGCACGCGGAGGAGAGGCGGUGGGAGGCGGGGCGCGGCCGGAGCGCUGCACGCCGCUGGCCUCUGCCCCGCAGGCCUGGCCGAGAGCGGGAGGCGCCCGGCUGGGCCCCACAGACACCGGGACUGUGGCCAUCAGGCCAGGGCCAGGGACUCCCGUCUGCACCCGGCCUCUAGGGCCCUCACUCCCACAGCGCCCCCCAGCGGCACAGGGCCUCCUGGACGGAACUGAAAGUCUGAAAGUCCUGCCGGGCGACGCUCUGUUUGCACGUUUCGUCCACGUCUGCAGUGCAUCGUGACUGCGCUCCUCCCGUGGCGAAGGGACUGUCAAACUCCGCAAGGGCAGCCAUUGGUGUAAUCAGCAAAAAGCCAUCCUGCAGCUGGAAAAAAAUUACAUCUUUGAAUAAUGCUGCUGGAGGAGUUUAACAUUUUGGAAAAGAAACUCAAUAAAAACUAAGGAGAAUAUAUAUUUAAAAAAUAAAAAAAUGCAAAUACCCUGAAAAUAACCAAUUUUGCAAACUACAGGGUUUGGAAUUGAAGAAAACCAAACACUUGCCAUCAUCUACUGCUACAACCAUGGGUUCCUUUCCUCCCAGCAGCUCAGAUUCUUUGCCUCUGGUCCUCACACCCCAACCCAAAGGCCCAAAUAACUCAUGGUGGGAACAUCAGGUACCUGAAGUUUAAAUACAAUGACCUACCGUUUUAAUGACUGUUCAGGCUUAUGACCCUCCACUUGGACUUACACCCA
Molecule: long non-coding RNA, 920 nt
Filed under: Heterocephalus glaber (naked mole-rat)
Lineage: Eukaryota; Metazoa; Chordata; Mammalia; Rodentia; Bathyergidae
Description: lncRNA (ENSHGLG00100042302.1)
Source: RNAcentral